CGAAAAGAACCUAUCACCUAAGCCACUUUUUGUACCAUCUAACUUAGAAAAAUUGAUAUUAAAGAUUUUCAUAUCAAGUCUGGAUAUAAACAUAUACUAAGAAUUCGAAAGAAACAUCUACAAGGAAACUAAUAAAGAGACUAAAGUAUUGGCGAAAGAAAUAGUCCACACCAUUUUUAACUGAUUAGAUAAAUGAAUAUCGAGGUGAUUAAAAAGUCGACUUAUAAGUAUAGUACUGUGAAGGAAAGGAUUUAUACGAAAUAACUUAUUUCUUUUUGUUUUUCUAUUGUUAAACAAUGUACCUUUUGUAUAAUGGGCUUGCUAGAACUAAAUUUGGUAAGCUUACUAAAGCUGUAUGCAUAACAAAAUCAAACAUUCCCGAAACUAGGUGAUCAAUUCUAGGACAGCCAACAGGGCCAACCAUUUACUGUUUCAAAAGUUUUGGAAGAUCUUAGAAUAGAGGUGAAAUACUAAUCGAACCUAGAAAUAGCUGGUUUUCUACAAAAUUCUUAUUAGAGAAAUGGUAUUAUAUUAGUAACUUUUUAAAGCUAGAAUAAGUACCAAUAUCAAACAUUAUUAUAGACCAAGAAUGACAAGAUUGUUGGUCAAGAGAGAAACAACUCAGAUUAUAAGCCAAGGACAUAAAUCAACUAAACGUAAACACAGUGAAAAGUGAAAAUAGAGGACAAGUAGGCCCGGAAGCAGCCACCUUAUUGACAACGCGUAACAGCGGCUCCUAAAAAUAUAUUCACUACAAAUUAUGAUGGCUAAAUAAUUCCGAAGCUAUAGCAAGCAGGUAGUAGAACAGACUAUUGAUUAUUAAUAGUGGAGAUAAUGCAAGCAUGAAUACCCAUCCAUUCUUUAGGUUUUACCAAAAACAAUCCUUAAAAACUACAGGUUUGUCAGCUAGGAGUUAACAUUUCCCAGGAAAUAAGCUGACAAGACCAAUUGUACCCUCUAACCAAAGAUAGUAGAACGACCUGAUCAAUUCUUUCAAAGGAACUCGGCAAAUUUGGACUCGAACCAACAUUAGGAUCGACUGUUUACCAAAAACAUAGCCCUACAGUAAUUUUGUAAGGUGAAGCCUGCCCAAUGACUGUUAAUAAUUCAACUAAAAUCAGUUUAAUGGCCGCGGUAACCCUGACCGUGAUAAAGUAGCAUAAUCACUUGUCACUUAAUUGGUGACUGGAAUGAAUGGCUAAACGAAUCCUUCCCUGUCUCUGAAAGAACUCUGGCAAAUUUGAAGUAAUAGUGAAGAUGCUAUUAGAUAAUUGUAAGACGAAAAGACCCUAUCGAGCUUUACUGGACACUUGCAUUUUGAUAUUCUUGAUCAUUACAAAGUUUCUCAUAGUGCAAGAUUGACAGUUUGGUUGGGGCGACCACCCCUAAAAAUGUAUCAGGGGAACUCUAAAGGUUGUUACAACAUGAAAAGUAACCUUACUGAAGAUAGACAAAUCAGCCAGUUAUGAUAAAUAGGACAUACUGACCCGUUAUUUUUGCUCAUAAUAAAUAACGACCAUGAAAAAAGUUACCGUAGGGAUAACAGGGUAAUAUUUUCGGAGAGUUCAUAUCGAUGAAGAUGUUUGCCACCUCGAUGUUGAAUUGUGAUAUCCUAAGGGUGCAGCAGCUCUUAAGGGUUGGUCUGUUCGACCAUUAAAAUCACACAUGAUUUGAGUUCAUUCCGUCGUAAGACAGGAAGGUUUCUAUCUACAAUUAAAGAACUAACCACAAACUCUAGUACGAAAGGAAUGAGUAAUGUCACUACAAAAAGAUGAGAUAACCAAUCUGAUUUAAUAUAAGUCUCUUAAUUAUAGUUCAACAAUUAUAUAUAAUACAUAAAAACACA
This 1846-nucleotide ribosomal RNA is filed under the name Aurelia sp. 4 sensu Dawson et al. (2005). Its description in RNAcentral is "16S ribosomal RNA". The stretch from base 233 to 1743 matches the Rfam family "Bacterial large subunit ribosomal RNA". Lineage: Eukaryota; Metazoa; Cnidaria; Scyphozoa; Semaeostomeae; Ulmaridae. The record is from RNAcentral.